CGGGUGAGUAAUGCGUGACCAACCUGCCCCAUGCUCCAGAAUAGCUCUUGGAAACGGGUGGUAAUGCUGGAUGCUCCAACUUGACGCAUGUCUUAUUGGGAAAGUGUUUAGUGGCAUGGGAUGGGGUCGCGUCCUAUCAGCUUGUAGGCGGGGUAAUGGCCCACCUAGGCUUCGACGGGUAGCCGGCCUGAGAGGGCGGACGGCCACAUUGGGACUGAGAUACGGCCCAGACUCCUACGGGAGGCAGCAGCG
Molecule: ribosomal RNA, 252 nt
Filed under: uncultured Gardnerella sp.
Lineage: Bacteria; Bacillati; Actinomycetota; Actinomycetes; Bifidobacteriales; Bifidobacteriaceae
Description: partial 16S ribosomal RNA
Rfam family: Bacterial small subunit ribosomal RNA
Source: RNAcentral